UACGGGGGGGGUAAGCGUUGUUCGGAAUUACUGGGCGUAAAGGGCUCGUAGGCGGCCAACUAAGUCGGACGUGAAAUCCCUCAGCUUAACUGGGGAACUGCGUCCGAUACUGGAUGGCUUGGAUUUGGGAGAGGGAUGCGGAAUUCCUGGUGUAGCGGUGGAAUGCGCAGAUAUCAGGAGGAACACCGGUGGCGAAGGCGGGUCUCUGGGCAGUAACUGACGCUGAGGAGCGAAAGCGUGGGGAGCGAACAGG
This 253-nucleotide ribosomal RNA is filed under the name uncultured bacterium. RNAcentral's name for it is "partial 16S ribosomal RNA". It matches the Rfam family "Bacterial small subunit ribosomal RNA", at positions 524 to 776 of the family's 1533-position model. The record is from RNAcentral.